UCCCAACUGAUGCAAUUUAAUUAUGUUGCAAAAUUCACAAUAAAUUCAGACAAUAUUAGGAUUAAAAGCGCAUAAAAGUAGAUCGGAGUCGAAUAAAUCUCACCAAUGAAGGAAUAUUUCACAAACUUAGAUAGCGCAAGUGCACGUGUUUAGAGAUAACAGAUUUGAGUGGGAUUUGUGAGUGGAUUCAUUCGCGUAAGAAUUACGCAAUACGGGAUGGAGUGUCAACCGGCAAUAUUAUGUAUCUGGCUAAAACGUUAGGAAAUUAUCUGGAAAAAUAUAAAUAAGGAAUUUUCUUGUAACCUGAAAAAAUCAUUAGUGUAAGUGAUCAUUUGCAUCAGUGAAGUGUAAUAAACUGUUUUCUCGUGGCUGAAUGCUGAGGAUCUGAAUAUUUUUAGGGUGAAUGUAAACAUAUACGAAUUUUUAUUGUCGAAAUUAAUUUUUGAGCAAAAACCGAGAAUUUCUUGAAUAUCCGGCUUUUUCGUAAUUUCAACAUUAGAUUCGCUUCGAGUUUGAACAUAAUUUCUAUGUUUAGUCACUGUCAUUGGUUUACGUAAGUAGAAACAGGUCCUUUACGGGCCUACAUCCAAGAAGAAAUCUGCAUAAAUCUGAAUAUAACUCGUUUUCUCUCCAUCAUUUGAAAUUCAAAUUUUUGAAAUUUCGACCGGAAUUAUACAAACCAUAGAAACAAAAAUUGAUUCUUCUGUGGUUAACUCACAUAACCUAUGAAAAUCUUGGAACAUAGAUCCAAGUACAUCGAAGUUGUCAAAAUAUAUGGAAAAAAUUCAAUUUUUAAAAGUUGAUAUCUCCUAAACCACAAGCUUGCAAGUGUUGAGGCUUGUGGCAAAUGAUUUCUCAUGAACAACCGCAUCUACAAAAAAAUUACGAACCUAAGCGAUCACUGCCCAGCCAAUGUUAAUUCUACCAUUUGUUUCUUUCAUCAGAAUACAAAGCAAAUAGUCAUAGAUCCCAAGUUCUCUUCCUUCAAAAAUGUAUGAGUUAUAAAGCGAAUAAAUCAGAAUGAAAAGCUU
Long non-coding RNA from Coccinella septempunctata (seven-spotted ladybird), 1031 nucleotides. RefSeq lists it as uncharacterized. NCBI's taxonomy places the organism in Eukaryota, Metazoa, Arthropoda, Insecta, Coleoptera, Coccinellidae. The transcript has 2 exons. The record is from RefSeq and is a predicted model, not a curated record.